CAGCCAUCAAUGCAGGGAUUCACUGCCUGGAGCUCCGAAGAACCAGGAGUUAAAGCAGCGUCCAGAAAGACGAGGAUUCUCCCGCCCAGUUAUCCAAUCUUUCUGCUGUUGAAACGUUUACUUUGACUCACAUCUCCCAGGGCUGAGCAAAGGCAGCUGCAGUGAAGGGCCCUCAGUGUGAGUGGGGAACAAGUUCUUCCUCCUCAAAAAUUCCUGCAUGGCAUUUAUGUGGAAUCUCACACAAGCAUGUCCUGGCUCAGCACUGCCAUUCCCAGGCACUGGUAGCUGUGCAAUCAGGCUAAGGAGACGUCCAAACAUCAGCUAAAAAACCAAGUGUGAUUUAGAAAGUUACAAGUUUUAAGAACUGAAAAGGAGUAAUGACGGUGAAUACUAAGAAAAUGUGAUUACUCAGCAUGGAAUUCUCCCAGCUGUGCUUUUCACAAGCUCCUCAAGCAGAAUUUACUCUCCAGCACGAAGUUCAAGAGCCAGUUAACUUCACUUUCUCAGGUUUAAAGGAAAUAGCAUGAAAACACUCAGUUAUGCUCACAAAAUGAUGCCACGUAAUCCAAGGAUUGACUGGUUCCAGAAAUUAGCAGAGUCACUGCACGGAUGCUUUGUGGCCAUGGAGAGGCUCCCACUGACAGCCACUCUCCUGAGUUGAGAAAGUUAUUCCACG
Molecule: long non-coding RNA, 676 nt
Organism: Pseudopipra pipra
Lineage: Eukaryota; Metazoa; Chordata; Aves; Passeriformes; Pipridae
Exons: 3
Source: RefSeq, a predicted model, not a curated record